AUUGAACGCUGGCGGCAUGCUUUACACAUGCAAGUCGAACGGUAACAGGCCGCAAGGUGCUGACGAGUGGCGAACGGGUGAGUAAUGCAUCGGAACGUGCCCAGUCGUGGGGGAUAACUACUCGAAAGAGUAGCUAAUACCGCAUACGAUCUAUGGAUGAAAGCGGGGGACCGUAAGGCCUCGCGCGAUUGGAGCGGCCGAUGUCAGAUUAGGUAGUUGGUGGGUAAAGGCUCACCAAGCCAACGAUCUGUAGCUGGUCUGAGAGGACGACCAGCCACACUGGGACUGAGACACGGCCCAGACUCCUACGGGAGGCAGCAGUGGGGAAUUUUGGACAAUGGGCGCAAGCCUGAUCCAGCAAUGCCGCGUGCAGGAAGAAGGCCUUCGGGUUGUAAACUGCUUUUGUACGGAACGAAACGGCUCUGGUUAAUACCCGGGGCUAAUGACGGUACCGUAAGAAUAAGCACCGGCUAACUACGUG
This 481-nucleotide ribosomal RNA is filed under the name uncultured bacterium. RNAcentral describes it as "partial 16S ribosomal RNA". It matches the Rfam family "Bacterial small subunit ribosomal RNA", at positions 30 to 507 of the family's 1533-position model. The record is from RNAcentral.